RNAcentral lists this small RNA (146 nucleotides) under Symbiodinium sp. Mp. RNAcentral's name for it is "partial Cyanobacteria transfer-messenger RNA". Lineage: Eukaryota; Dinophyceae; Suessiales; Symbiodiniaceae. The record is from RNAcentral.
AAGUUCGCUUGACUUGAACGAGUACGCAGAGGCGAACAACAUUGUCAUGCUCUACCCGCAGGCCGCGGGUGACGACAGAGUGGGCAUCGGCUGCUGGAAUUGGGGCGAUGGGCACGUUGACCCUCAGUUCGACACCCAAAGGUCAC